AUUGAACGCUGGCGGCAGGCUUAACACAUGCAAGUCGAGCGGGGUGAUGGUGCUUGCACUAUCACUUAGCGGCGGACGGGUGAGUAAUGCUUAGGAAUCUGCCUAUUAGUGGGGGACAACAUCUCGAAAGGGAUGCUAAUACCGCAUACGUCCUACGGGAGAAAGCAGGGGAUCACUUGUGACCUUGCGCUAAUAGAUGGGCCUAAGUCGGAUUAGCUAGUUGGUGGGGUAAAGGCCUACCAAGGCGACGAUCUGUAGCGGGUCUGAGAGGAUGAUCCGCCACACUGGGACUGAGACACGGCCCAGACUCCUACGGGAGGCAGCAGUGGGGAAAAUUGGACAGUGGGGGGAACCCUGAUCCAGCCAUGCCGCGUGUGUGAAGAAGGCCUUAUGGUUGUAAAGCACUUUAAGCGAGGAGGAGGCUCUUUUGGUUAAUACCCAAGAUGAGUGGACGUUACUCGCAGAAUAAGCACCGGCUAACUCUGUGCCAGCCGCCGCGGUAA
Molecule: ribosomal RNA, 503 nt
Filed under: uncultured bacterium
Lineage: Bacteria
Description: partial 16S ribosomal RNA
Rfam family: Bacterial small subunit ribosomal RNA
Source: RNAcentral